This 420-nucleotide ribosomal RNA is filed under the name Triticum aestivum (bread wheat). RNAcentral's name for it is "partial small subunit ribosomal RNA". The record is from RNAcentral. Lineage: Eukaryota; Viridiplantae; Streptophyta; Magnoliopsida; Poales; Poaceae.
AUGGUUACAUCAGACACAGAACAGGAACAUAACACAGCCACGAUGGGCGCAGAGGUUGGUGUCCUCAAAGAGCCCGACGAGGUAGGCCUCGGCCGCCUCCUGCAGCGCGGAGACGGCGGAGCUCUGGAAGCGGAGGUCGGUCUUGAAGUCCUGCGCGAUCUCCCGCACCAGGCGCUGGAAGGGGAGCUUGCGGAUCAGCAGCUCCGUGCUCUUCUGGUACUUGCGGAUCUCGCGGAGCGCGACGGUGCCGGGGCGGAAGCGGUGGGGCUUCUUCACGCCGCCGGUGGCCGGCGCGGACUUGCGCGCCGCCUUGGUCGCCAGCUGCUUCCGCGGCGCCUUGCCGCCGGUGGACUUCCUCGCCGUCUGCUUCGUGCGGGCCUUUUCGGAGGGAAGGUGGGUUUGGAGCGUUGGAUUUGGUAG